UCCCUCUCUCUCCCUCUCUCAUAGUCCCUCACCGUCAGUCACUCACCGUCACUCUUCAUUUCCUCGGCUCCCGUCGACAUUCAAGUCUCUCUCUCUCUCUCUCUCUCCCUCUAUUUCCCCAUUUCACUCUAACUCUGGGGUUUUUUAUGUUGAUGUUGUAGGAUUUGAUUUCUGUGAAAUGAGUACAUGAUUUUUUCUUUUUGUUCUAGAUUUAGGGUUUUUUGAACUAAUUAUUGGUGUGAUAGAUGAGGUGAUUUAUUCUUUGAAAUGAUUUAGGGUUUUUGAAUUUCAAGGUGAAGAUAUAUUAAACAAACAAAAUGGAUUGUAGUUUAAUUAUACAAAAUUUUCUUUCGAUUCUUGAUAUUAACUCCAGCACUAAUUUAACAAUGAUUUUUUCUCAUUACUAAAAUUGUAGUUCUAGUUAACUGCUCCUAGUGUUUGUCUAAUUCAUUUUCACUUCAUAGACUAUAUAUAGCAGCAGUAGUGGGUCUUACUUUUUUCUUUUUGACAAGUAAAAUCUAUUAACAAAUCACCAAGAGGGUAUACCUAUUUACCACUGUAGAGCAAAACAACAAAAAGAUCUCUUAUUCAUGAUUGGUUCCACAAAGUGUCUGCAAAAUUCAUGAUUGGUUCCACAAUUCCCUGAAACCAACCAUACAAGAAACAAAAACUUACUCUCUAAUUUAAAGAGAGGUUGUUCCACCCAACAAAGGUUGUCGAUUACACUUGGCCCACAUAAGCCACAUCAAACAUAACAAGGUGCCAAUAGCCAAGCCCUUUUCCUCUACUUGCCUACUACUCCCUCCUUUCAACAAAGAAAUGGGUCCAGCACACUCCUUUGAAAAACCCAAAUAUACCUAGGAUCAUCCCCAAGCUUUAGAUAGCUACAUAUUUGGACAUUUUGACUCUGUUUGUUUUACGCUGAUAAAGAAUAUAAAAUGUUUAGUGCAAAUCAAACUCAAACUUAGUGUCAUGUAGGCCACUUUUAAAAUAAAUCUAAUUCAUGCACUUAAUUUUUUGGGUAAUUUUUAAAGGAUUAUGGAUUUGAGUAAGGAUUUGGGAUCGUUUUCCAAGUUGAUUCAAUGAUUUAAAUUAUUAAUAAACAUAUAAACAACCUCGUCUCCUUUUUUUCUUUUUUUUUUCUUUUUUUUUCUAUGAGUACACACACAACAUACAUUCUAUUCUACUUCCUUUUACACAACCUCCUUGUAAUCUGAAUUCAGUCAAAGAGUAAUUCUAAUCUUCAUCAACUCACACAAUUCAACCAAGUUGGGGAUACAAGCAUUAAACACACACUCAUUUCUCAUCUUCCAUAAAGACCACAAAAUAGCCAAUGGUUUAGCCCUCCAAAUUUUCCUCUCCUUUUUCAAGAAACCUAUUGCCCUCCUACCAAUAGAAUAGACUUUCAAUUGUACCUAGCAAAGCCCCUUGUACAUCCCACCAAUUUAACAUUGAAGCCCAUACUCUCCAAGCAAAGGGACAAUGCAAAAGUACAUGGCUCAUAUAUUCAUCUUCGUUUUUACAAAAAACACAAAGGAUUAGGACAUUUCUUUGAAGAACACCUAUCCUUUGAAGAUAAUCAGCAGUCUUAACUUUGUUUUUCCAUGCUAACCAACCAAAAAAUUGGACUUUCUGAGGUGCAUACUUGAUCUACACUAGCUUUGUUAUUUCUUCUACUUAUGAUGAUUGACUUGUACCUCGAAGCUUUGCUGAUUACAUUAAUGGAGGGAUAGUUGAAAAGGUAGAGGUUAUACUCUUUUUUGUACGUGUGUGUGUAACACAUGCAUUUAGUACAAGUAAACAGAGCUCCCCUUAAAGCAAUUUUUACCCAAACCUAUAGAAAAUCACAACAAUACCUAAGUUUACUGGAGGGGAAAAAAAUCAUAGUUAUUUUCAUACAUUUGCAUCUAGAAUUUUGUCGUAAAUGUAAGAUUUGUUUUUUGUUAUAUGAAAGUUUUCACAAAAAAAAUUCUUUAUUCCCAUGAUUGCAAACUUACAUUUAACCAUUUUUAACUCCAUUUCUCAAGUUCUCUUGAAGCAUAUCUCCAUAUUAACUUUUCUGAAUCAGUUUUUCUAAAAUUUUGGACUUGGUUACAAGUUUAUUUUUAUGUGUUUGUGUAACAAAUUGGCUCUUGGGGAUGCAUAUCCUAUAUUUGAGUGUUUCAAAACAUCAAGAAGAACAUAAUUCAGCUCAAAGAGCUUUGGUUUUGGUGUCAAUAUUGAUAGAAAAUUUAUGUUUUUUAGUGCAUUUGACUGAAAUUUGUUUUAUAGAAUCUCUUGACUUUUGAAUGGCUCGGUUCAAGCGAAUUUGGUAGAUUUGGUGGUAUUUUGCGUAGUCAUACCUACAAUAGCUGCAUCAUUCUAUCUAUGGUACAUAAAGUACUGACUUUCAAAGUGUGUUUUUGACUUUUUUUCUCUUUGUUGUUUAUCAUAUGCCCAUAUAUUUGUAUUGUCUCUACCUUCUCUUGAUGGACUUGGAAAUUGCUUUCCUUUUUGUUUGUGUCGUUCUUGUUAAAAUUCUCUCCUACUGCUUUUAUGAUUUUAUUUUCUUUGCAAGAGAACAAUAAAGAAGGGAGUUUUGAUUUCUCUGUAAAGGUAAGGGUUAAGCAAUUGAUGUUGUGUCGUGUCGUGUCGUGUCGUGUUCUGUUUUUUUUUUUUUUUUUUUUUGGGUGCUAAAAUUGCUAUAAAAAAGAUAUAAAAAAAUCAGAUGGCAACAAUACUACAAGUUUUGGCCUAAUUAGAUGACUUCUCUAUAUUGGUGUGGUGUCUACUAUGGAUUUGUAAAAACAAAUAAUAAAUAUAGGUUUAUGAUAUAAGAAUUCUUACCGCGCUUUAUUGGUUUAAUGGUCAACAUUUGGUAAAUUCACAGCAUUUUCUAAAUUGGAGUGUUUCAAAGAAGUUCCAAAGAGAUUGUUAGAGUGUUUUGUAAAUUUGUUUUUCUCAUAUACUGAAUUAAUGGCAGGCAUUCUUAUAAUUUCUUCUAUAUUUCCACACUGUUAUUCUAAAUGCUUUAAACUUGAAUUCCUUGCAUAUGAGUUCCUUAGAACUAUAGAUCAAAUAAAUCACUAUGAAUGAUAUGCUUGUGUAUAUUCAUUUAUUGUCUUUGUUUCUAGGUAGUGUACUGUUCUUGGUAAUAAAUGUUGGAAUGAAAUGAUCAUUCCACUAUUUGGUUAGCAAAAAAAAUACUGAAUAGUCAUUCCUAUUCAACUAACAUGGCUGAAUUGCCAUUCUAUUUGGGAUGUAUGAAAUAGGUAUUCCAUUCCUUUCAUUUUUUCAUUGCAACAAAAGUUGCCCCUGUAGUACAUAAACAAACAUUUCAUUUCACGGAGCUUCUUCGACAAUUUUGUAACGUAACAACGCUAGAUCGUGGCAUGUCUCCUCACUCACUCAUAUCUCUACUUCCUUCAUCUUUCUUUUUGAAGUCUCAUAUUUUUGUUAGUGAUCUAAUUUAUUUUCUUUUCCUUUUCUGCUUGAUAUUUACAAUUAUUAAUAUGUGGCUCACUUCUUAUUGGUAAGGAAGAAUGAUAGGCAACUACUUUCUUUAUGCUCUAUCAGGUUGCUUAUUUUGUUUAUCAUUAUGGUUAAUUCUUCUAUAAGAAAAUGGGGAUUUCUUAGAAUAAAAUUUGUAUAGUUGGUGCAAUCACGUGAUCUAAUAAUUAUACCCAAAAAAAUUCCAGGUUGAUCGAAAAUAUGUUCUGUUGAUUUUCAAUUGUGGUUGUAUUCUUUGCCUUACCUUGAAAAGUAAAUGUGUAAAAUUUUAUUUAGUUCUACUGUUUGCCUGCUUGUUUUGAUGCAAAUGUCCAGACAUGAAGUAACCAAGUUAUUAUAGACUGUGGAAUGCUUCCCCAAUGGAUAUAGCAAAGUGGUUAAAAUAAGCAAGGUCUCUGUAGAUUCUGGAAUUGAAGGGGGUUCCAAACAAAUGGAGAUUUCAGGCGAGGGUGUGGGAUGAGUCUUCCUAGUCUGGAACACCUAUGAUGAAGAGGAAAUAUCAAGAGAGGUGUUUGGGAAGAAGGGAUAUUUAAGAGGUUUUGGGAUUAGCCCAAAACCCUUUUCCUCCGAUUCUAGAUCAAAUGCUGUAGCACUACGAGAGGUAGAGAUGCAAAGACUUUAGAUCCGAGGUGGAGAUUACUUUUGGCAUGAAACAUAUUACUAUUGGCAUGGUAUAGAUUACUAGUGGAUAUUUGUUUUUUGUGUACGGAGAACAUGGUUUUGGUAUGAUUCUUUGUUUUUAUGUAAUUAUUAUUUUAGGUUGGAUUA
Non-coding RNA from Camellia sinensis, 4257 nucleotides. Lineage: Eukaryota; Viridiplantae; Streptophyta; Magnoliopsida; Ericales; Theaceae. The record is from RefSeq and is a predicted model, not a curated record.